UGGGGAAUAUUGGACAAUGGGCGCAAGCCUGAUCCAGCCAUGCCGCGUGAGUGAUGAAGGCCCUAGGGUUGUAAAGCUCUUUCACCGGUGAAGAUAAUGACGGUAACCGGAGAAGAAGCCCCGGCUAACUUCGUGCCAGCAGCCGCGGUAAUACGAAGGGGGCUAGCGUUGAUCGGAUUUACUGGGCGUAAAGCGCACGUAGGCGGACUUUUAAGUCAGGGGUGAAAUCCCGGGGCUCAACCCCGGAACUGCCUUUGAUACUGGAAGUCUUGAGUAUGGUAGAGGUGAGUGGAAUUCCGAGUGUAGAGGUGAAAUUCGUAGAUAUUCGGAGGAACACCAGUGGCGAAGGCGGCUCACUGGACCAUUACUGACGCUGAGGUGCGAAAGCGUGGGGAGCAAACAGG
RNAcentral lists this ribosomal RNA (404 nucleotides) under Actinomycetes bacterium. Its description in RNAcentral is "Actinobacteria bacterium partial 16S ribosomal RNA". It matches the Rfam family "Bacterial small subunit ribosomal RNA", at positions 355 to 776 of the family's 1533-position model. The record is from RNAcentral. Lineage: Bacteria; Bacillati; Actinomycetota; Actinomycetes.